Molecule: long non-coding RNA, 513 nt
Organism: Musa acuminata AAA Group (dessert banana)
Lineage: Eukaryota; Viridiplantae; Streptophyta; Magnoliopsida; Zingiberales; Musaceae
Exons: 4
Source: RefSeq, a predicted model, not a curated record
UCGUCGCUCCUUUUGUGAAGCCGAGUCUUCGCUCUCGUCCUCCUUGUGCUCCGCUCUGUUGCGCGUCGCCGUGGUCGAGAAGCCGACGUCGAUGGAGGGCUCCGGCGCCAUUCUUCGUCUGAGGACGUAAUCGACCAGGAGUUCCACAGAUUCAAGCAGAUACAAGGAUGAUAUCGAUUAGAGUUUUUGAGCUCAAUGCUUUGAUCCAUUUGGCUGCUACUGCCAGGAUCCCUAUGGGAUAUUGCAAAGGAAUUAAAUCCCUACAGACAAACCAAGUUGAAUGGAGAGAAGAAUCUGAUAAGAGAUUGAUUAUGGAGUUAUUUGGAGGAUUAUGCCCAGUAUGAUGUUUAUGCACUUCAAGAUUCAUCAGUAAGUAUUGACCUCUAAAUUAUGUGAGCACGCUUUUUACUCUAGUCUACAAAUUUCUGAAAUUUGCAUACUGUUCUUGCAAUUAUUUUUACUAUUAUGUUUGUACAUUAUAUCUUGAAUCAUAUGAUGUAUUAGUCUGUAUGC